RNAcentral lists this ribosomal RNA (440 nucleotides) under uncultured bacterium. RNAcentral's name for it is "partial 16S ribosomal RNA". It matches the Rfam family "Bacterial small subunit ribosomal RNA", at positions 338 to 795 of the family's 1533-position model. The record is from RNAcentral.
CCUACGGGAGGCUGCAGUAGGGAAUAUUGCUCAAUGGGGGAAACCCUGAAGCAGCAACGCCGCGUGGAGGAUGAAGGUUUUCGGAUUGUAAACUCCUUUUGUUAGAGAAGAUAAUGACGGUAUCUAACGAAUAAGCACCGGCUAACUCCGUGCCAGCAGCCGCGGUAAUACGGAGGGUGCAAGCGUUACUCGGAAUCACUGGGCGGAAAGAGCGCGUAGGCGGGAUAGCAAGUCAGAUGUGAAAUCCUAUGGCUUAACCAUAGAACUGCAUUUGAAACUGUUAUUCUAGAGUAUGGGAGAGGUAGGUGGAAUUCUUGGUGUAGGGAUAAAAUCCGUAGAGAUCAAGAGGAAUACUCAUUGCGAAGGCGACCUGCUAGAACAUAACUGACGCUGAUGCGCGAAAGCGUGGGGAGCAAACAGGAUUAGAUACCCGAGUAGUC